GACAAGACUUUCGCUUUCAGUUGCCAGUCUAAGUCUGUGUGUUUUGUGUGUGUGUGUGUGUGUGUUGCCAAUUUAUAUGGCCAACAACUUGUCGUUAGAAGCAAACACAAGUUAAGAGAUAGAGCUAAUGUGUUAAUACUUGCUAUAUAUAUAUAUAUAUGUCAAGUUAUUAUCUUAUCCGUUUUCCAGCUGUUUAUAAGAUCAACUUUCAGUUGUUCCCCGGCAACUGCAACUUGAAACUGGAAGCACUUUUCUCUCUCUCUCACUCGGUCACUCGCUCUCUCUUUUGGCUUAUCAGCUAACUAGCUUUUGGCCAACUCUCAGUCUCAGUCAAUCUUUUCCUCUCUCUUUCUGUCUGUCUGUUUGCGUCUCUUUCUCAAGCUGUCUGCAGUUCGUUUGCAAAAAAUAAAUCGCCUUCACCAUUCGCAUAUCAAAGUUAACCGUUAACGGUUGCCAAUUUCGCGUCGCCUUUUUUUUAGAGUUACCUAUAUUAUCCGGCUAUAAAUUAAAGCCUUUAAUUAACUGUUGCAUAGCAAAUUAACAUAGCGCUAAUCUGAGAAAACUCUAUCAAAAAAAAAACGUGAAGCGCGUGUGAGAACGAGAUUUGAAAGUGAUUUCAAAGCAAAAUACUAAACGACGAAUAGACCACCAAGAAAUAUUAAAAAAAAAAAAAAAAACCAUUCAAGUAUUUUCAAAAUCUACACAAAAAGCAAUACAAAUUUAAGCGCGUCUGUCUGUGUAUGUGUGUGCUUAUGUGUGUGUGUGAUCUAUAUAUAUAAACUAUAUACUUAUAAGAAAAGCUGCAUUGUGAUUUCAUUUUUACCUGCAAAAGAAAAAAAUCAAACGGAAUCAACGCACCUUUUUUUAUACUCAACCAAAAACUUUGUGACCAAGCUAAGGCCAAAUUUUAUACACAAAAA
Long non-coding RNA from Drosophila innubila, 920 nucleotides. RefSeq lists it as uncharacterized. The transcript has 2 exons. The record is from RefSeq and is a predicted model, not a curated record. Lineage: Eukaryota; Metazoa; Arthropoda; Insecta; Diptera; Drosophilidae.